RNAcentral lists this ribosomal RNA (1224 nucleotides) under metagenome. RNAcentral's name for it is "bacterial SSU rRNA". It matches the Rfam family "Bacterial small subunit ribosomal RNA", at positions 128 to 1325 of the family's 1533-position model. The record is from RNAcentral.
ACCUUUAAGUUGGGGACAACCAGAUGAAAAUCUGGCUAAUACCGAAUGUGGUCUUCUGGCACAUGCCAGGAUGACUAAAGGCGGGGAUUCUUCGGAACCUGCCGCUUGAAGAUGCACCCGCGUGCCAUCAGCUUGUUGGUAGGGUAACGGCCUACCAAGGCUUACGGCUAGCCGGCCUGUGAGGGUGACCGGCCACACUGGGACUGAGACACUGCCCAGACUCCUACGGGAGGCUGCAGUCGAGGAUCAUUCGCAAUGCGCGAAAGCGUGACGAUGCGACGCUGCGUGGGGGAUGAAGGCCUUCGGGUCGUAAACUCCUGUCAUGAGGGAAAAGUAUCCCUGCAAUUAAUAGUUGCGGGGCUCGAUGGUACCUCAAGAGGAAGCCACGGCUAACUCUGUGCCAGCAGCCGCGGUAAUACAGAGGUGGCGAGCGUUGUUCGGAUUUACUGGGCGUAAAGGGUGCGUAGGUGGUUUUGUGUGUCGGAUGUGAAAGCCCAUGGCUCAACCGUGGAAUUGCAUUCGAAACUGCAGAACUAGAGUGCAGGAUGGGAGAGCGGAAUUCUUGGUGUAGCGGUGAAAUGCGUUGAUAUCAAGAAGAACACCGGUGGCGGAGGCGGCUCUCUGGAAUGCUACUGACACUGAGGCACGAAAGCUGGGGGAGCAAACAGGAUUAGAUACCCUGGUAGUCCCAGCCGUAAACGGUGCACACUUGGUGUGGGGAGAUUUAACCCCCUCCGUGCCGGAGCUAACGCGUUAAGUGUGCCGCCUGGGGAGUACGGCCGCAAGGCUAAAACUCAAAGAAAUUGACGGGGGCCCGCACAAGCGGAGGAGCAUGUGGCUUAAUUCGAUGCAACGCGAAGAACCUUACCAGGGCUUGACAUAUACCUGCAAACCCCGUGAAAGCGGGGAAUCCUUCGAGGGUGGUAUACAGGUGCUGCAUGGCUGUCGUCAGUUCGUGCCGUGAGGUGUUGGGUUAAGUCCCGUAACGAACGCAACCCUUGUGACUAGUUGCCACCGGCGGUGAUGAGCCGUCGAGCACUCUAGUCAGACUGCCCGUACAAGCGGGAGGAAGGUGGGGAUGACGUCAAGUCAGUAUGGCCCUUACGCCCUGGGCUGCACACGUGCUACAAUGGUCGGUACAAUGGGAUGCAAUAUCGCGAGGUGGAGCAAAUCCUGAAAGCCGGCCCCAGUUCGGAUUGAAGUCUGCAACUCGACUUCAUGAAG